UGUUGUCAGAGGAAAACGUAUUUAAAUGACAGAGAUACAGUUCCUGACACCUGGUAUCCGCUGUGUCCUGUUUCCACUGGUUUUCAUGGACCUUGUCCUGAAUUAAUGAAAUGGGAAUCCCAGUUCACUCUAUGAAAAGGCCACAAAGAAACUUCUUGACGCCGAGUGAGUCUACAGCUGUGUCUUUGUUCUCGGUGGAGCUAAAGACCACAUUAAUCAGAAACUUCGCUGACCUUGUCUUUACUACCUGAAGACUGAAAGACAAAAGCGACACAGUCUGGCCACAUUUAAAAAUUCAAUUAAAAAAUGCCUGCUGCCGGGGGAUAAACAUUAUGGUAGGCCUCAGUCUGGUGAGAUAUAACUGUGAUAAAGGCAAUGCCUUUUUCUCCCUCUGUUUUUACUUUUUGUCCCCAAAGAGAAUAAAGCCUCGCUUCUGUUUCUCCUUCUGGUUA
Molecule: long non-coding RNA, 452 nt
Organism: Neopsephotus bourkii (Bourke's parrot)
Lineage: Eukaryota; Metazoa; Chordata; Aves; Psittaciformes; Psittacidae
Exons: 2
Source: RefSeq, a predicted model, not a curated record